This 452-nucleotide ribosomal RNA is filed under the name uncultured bacterium. RNAcentral describes it as "bacterial SSU rRNA". It matches the Rfam family "Bacterial small subunit ribosomal RNA", at positions 917 to 1382 of the family's 1533-position model. The record is from RNAcentral.
GGGCCCGCACAAGCAGCGGAGCGUGUGGUUUAAUUCGAUGCUACGCGAAAAACCUUACCCGGGUUUGACAUACAGGUGGUAGGGAACUGAAAGGGGACCGACCCUUCGGGGAGCCUGAACAGGUGCUGCAUGGCUGUCGUCAGCUCGUGUCGUGAGAUGUCCGGUUAAGUCCGGUAACGAGCGCAACCCUUGCCGUAUGUUACAAGUGUCAUACGGGACUGCCGGUAUCAAGCCGGAGGAAGGUGGGGAUGACGUCAAGUCAGCAUGGCCUUUAUAUCCGGGGCUACACACACGCUACAAUGGUCAGUACAAUAGGUUGCAAAGCCGCGAGGUGGAGCCAAUCCCUAAAGCUGGCCUCAGUUCAGAUUGCAGGCUGCAACUCGCCUGCAUGAAGUUGGAGUUGCUAGUAACCGCGCGUCAGCAAUAGUGCGGUGAAUACGUUCCCGGGCCUU